GUCCGAAAACAUUAAAUGGAAAUCCGGAAGUAAAUAAUUCAUCAGUUUUAAAUUGUGCACCGUCCUGAGUAGUGUGAUGGAAUCUCGCACCAUCCCUUGUGCCCUGUAAAAUGAAGGUGUAUUCCAGAGAACAAAGGAAGGAUGGAGCUUUUAUAGAGCAUCUUUCUGCCCAGAGCUAAUCUUGGAUUAUCCAGGUGGGUCCAGUAUAAUCACAAGUCCUUAAUGUGAAAGAAGUAGGCAGAAGAAGAGUGGUGUGACAUGAGAAGGAUUCAGCAGGUCAUUGCUGGCUGUGAAGAUGGAAGGGGGCGUGAAAGCUAGCGGUAUCAACACAGAGUGGCUCAUGUGAAAACCUAAGGAAAUGGAGCCGCGAGGCCAUGAAGAAGGCGCCCUCGUGCACAUAUGCUCAUGUAGGAACUACUGGAAGAACUUCCGUGUUCCGGAUAAGCUGCCUGCCUCCUGCACAUACGCUCAUGUAGGAACUACUGGAAGAACUUCCGUGUUCCAGAUAAGCUGCCUGCCUCGUGCACAUACGCUCAUGUAGGAACUACCGGAAGAACUUCGGUGUUCCCGAUAAGCUGCCUGCCCAUGGACACUUGCCUCCUUCCAGCUCCUGCAACCAGAGAGCUUUGUCUCAAGACAGCUCAUGUGGACUUCUCAUUUUUUCCUUUUAAAAGCUUCUCUUGUCUCAGCCUGUUUGGAUAUACCUAUGGGUCUGCCAUAGCGUGCAUAUGGAUUGUAGUCC
RNAcentral lists this long non-coding RNA (742 nucleotides) under Homo sapiens (human). RNAcentral's name for it is "HSALNT0118076". Lineage: Eukaryota; Metazoa; Chordata; Mammalia; Primates; Hominidae. The record is from RNAcentral.